RNAcentral lists this ribosomal RNA (253 nucleotides) under uncultured bacterium. RNAcentral's name for it is "partial 16S ribosomal RNA". It matches the Rfam family "Bacterial small subunit ribosomal RNA", at positions 524 to 776 of the family's 1533-position model. The record is from RNAcentral.
UACGAAGGGGGCUAGCGUUGUUCGGAAUUACUGGGCGUAAAGGGCGCGUAGGCGGACAUCUAAGUCAGGGGUGAAAUCCCAGGGCUCAACCCUGGAAUUGCCUUUGAUACUGGACGUCUCGAGUUCGGGAGAGGUGAGUGGAAUUCCGAGUGUAGAGGUGAAAUUCGUAGAUAUUCGGAGGAACACCAGAAGCGAAGGCGGCUCACUGGCCCGAUACUGACGCUGAGGCGCGAAAGCGUGGGGAGCAAACAGG